GUGGGGAAUAUUGGACAAUGGGGGGAACCCUGAUCCAGCCAUGCCGCGUGUGUGAAGAAGGCCUUUUGGUUGUAAAGCACUUUAAGUGGGGAGGAGGCUUACCUGGUUAAUACCUGGGCUAAGUGGACGUUACCCACAGAAUAAGCACCGGCUAACUCUGUGCCAGCAGCCGCGGUAAUACAGAGGGUGCGAGCGUUAAUCGGAUUUACUGGGCGUAAAGCGCGAGUAGGUGGUUAAUUAAGUCAAAUGUGAAAUCCCCGAGCUUAACUUGGGAAUUGCAUUCGCUACUGGUUAGCUAGAGUAUGGGAGAGGAUGGUAGAAUUCCAGGUGUAGCGGUGAAAUGCGUAGAGAUCUGGAGGAAUACCGAUGGCGAAGGCAGCCAUCUGGCCUAAUACUGACACUGAGGUGCGAAAGCAUGGGGAGCAAACAGGAUUAGAAACCCCAGUAGUCC
This 451-nucleotide ribosomal RNA is filed under the name uncultured bacterium. RNAcentral's name for it is "partial 16S ribosomal RNA". It matches the Rfam family "Bacterial small subunit ribosomal RNA", at positions 354 to 796 of the family's 1533-position model. The record is from RNAcentral.